This 467-nucleotide ribosomal RNA is filed under the name uncultured bacterium. RNAcentral's name for it is "partial 16S ribosomal RNA". It matches the Rfam family "Bacterial small subunit ribosomal RNA", at positions 28 to 507 of the family's 1533-position model. The record is from RNAcentral.
GACGAACGCUGGCGGCGUGCUUAACACAUGCAAGUCGAACGGAAAGGCUCCAGCUUGCUGGAGUACUCGAGUGGCGAACGGGUGAGUAACACGUGGGUAAUCUGCCCUGCACUCUGGGAUAAGCCUGGGAAACUGGGUCUAAUACUGGAUAUGACCUUUCUCCUUAUGGGGUUUGGUGGAAAGUUUUUCGGUGUAGGAUGAGCCCGCGGCCUAUCAGCUUGUUGGUGGGGUGAUGGCCUACCAAGGCGACGACGGGUAGCCGGCCUGAGAGGGUGAUCGGCCUCAUUGGGACUGAGAUACGGCCCAGACUCCUACGGGAGGCAGCAGUGGGGAAUAUUGCACAAUGGGCGGAAGCCUGAUGCAGCGACGCCGCGUGAGGGAUGACGGCCUUCGGGUUGUAAACCUCUUUCAGCAGGGACGAAGCGUAAGUGACGGUACCUGCAGAAGAAGCACCGGCUAACUAUGUG